GUUGGGCACUGUCUCCAGACCACAGAACAGGUGCCACUAUCUUAAAGGACCUUGGCCAGGGGGAAAGUGCUAAAGAAGAGGAGUAAGCCAAGGAUCUUGGUUCUCUGACCAGGGAUCGAACACAUGCCCCCUGCAGUGGAAGUGCAGAGUCCCAACCAGUGAACCACCAAAGAAGUCCCCACGUUUUCACUUUAGAAAGACAUCUCAGGUAUUGGCAGACACAAAGGCCCCCACCCAGGUGGAUAACUUCAGGAUUCCUGGAGCAUCACCCUGUUACCUCACUACCAACCAAUCAGAAGAAAGUCACACCUCCUGCAGCCCUCACCUAAAUUUUGCCUAUGAGAAUUCUCCUAACAACCAUCAGGCUUUGUGAAGAACACACCCAUACUGACUAGGCCACAUGCUGGCUUACAUUGCUCUACUUCUGAGUUAAAUGCUCCAAGGCUUAAAUUUCAGUUCUGUGCCCGCCCUCAACAAGAGAUUGAAUUUUUCUAUCUCUGUUUCUUCAUCUUGAAUCAUGAUUUAUGAGAUGCACCUCCAUCAAGGCCGUGAAGACACAACAAAGCCCAAGGGCUCUGCAUGAUGCCUGGUCCAUGAUAAGUGCUUUAUAAGGGGUGGAAAUUACCAUGAUCAUUCUGGGUUCUCCAAACAGACAAACAUUUUUUUGACUAACUGGCUUGUGACAUGGAUUGUUUCUUUCCAAUUUAAGAUGCUUUCUUUUCACAGAAGUUUAAAAAAUAAUAAAAGGGUAAUUACCAUUGGGUAGGUAAUUACUAUGCUGUGCUUGCUCUAUGAUUAAAUAAAAAUGUUUUGCAUAUAA
RNAcentral lists this long non-coding RNA (820 nucleotides) under Bos taurus (domestic cattle). RNAcentral's name for it is "long non-coding RNA NONBTAT009035". Lineage: Eukaryota; Metazoa; Chordata; Mammalia; Artiodactyla; Bovidae. The record is from RNAcentral.